GACGAACGCUGGCGGCGUGCUUAACACAUGCAAGUCGAACGAGACGAUUGAAAGCUUGCUUUCAAAAGUCGAGUGGCAAACGGGUGAGUAACGCGUAGACAACCUGCCUUUGAGAUGGGGACAACAGUUCGAAAGGACUGCUAAUACCGAAUGUUGUAUAUUUUCCACAUGGAAGAUAUAUUAAAGAUGGCCUCUAUUUAUAAGCUAUCGAUCAAAGAUGGGUCUGCGUCUGAUUAGCUGGUUGGUGGGGUAACGGCCUACCAAGGCGACGAUCAAUAGCCGGUCUGAGAGGAUGAACGGCCGCAUUGGGACUGGGACACGGCCCAGACUCCUACGGGAGGCAGCAGUGGGGAAUCUUCCACAAUGGACGAAAGUCUGAUGGAGCAACGCCGCGUGAGUGAAGAAGGGUUUCGGCUCGUAAAGCUCUGUUGUCGGGGACGAAUGUGCAGUAUUUGAAUAAAGUAGUGUAAUGACGGUACCUGACGAGGAAGCCACGGCUAACUACGUGCCAGCCGCCGCAGUAA
This 524-nucleotide ribosomal RNA is filed under the name uncultured bacterium. RNAcentral's name for it is "partial 16S ribosomal RNA". It matches the Rfam family "Bacterial small subunit ribosomal RNA", at positions 28 to 523 of the family's 1533-position model. The record is from RNAcentral.